Molecule: non-coding RNA, 21 nt
Organism: Caenorhabditis elegans
Lineage: Eukaryota; Metazoa; Nematoda; Chromadorea; Rhabditida; Rhabditidae
Source: Ensembl
UGAUAAGCUAUGAAAAGAACG